AGCAGUGAAUCACACACACAGGAUUCCCUUCCCAGUGAGUUCUGAGAUACCACACCUUGGUGUGAGAGAAGAAGGGACCAUCUAUUGACUGCAGCUAAGUGUGUCCACAAUGACACUAUGCCUAACUGCCAGUUAGGCAUAACUGAACUGGACACCAUAUGCACUCCAUGAGUAGUGACAUGGCCCAGGUCUAUCUCUCCAUCCAUUUGGCCUCUAACCAGGUGUCUAAGGAGCAUAGAGUAGAAUAAAUCUCAUGCUUCCCUUGCAGUGGGUAUGCAACCUGUGGACAAAGUCGAGUCCAUCUCUUAAAGGAGUCUAGAACCUAGGUAUCUGCAUUUACUUCUCAUCAUUCCUUCAGGGCUGACCUUUUCCAUUCCUCUUGAAACCAAAAUUUUGUCAUGGUGAAGAAGUCUCUAAAGGGAGAGGCCCAGUGUCCAAUAGAGGUAACAGUCUGUGGAGGGGAAAGAUAGGAAACAUUACAGUUCCCUAAGGCUGACACCUGGGAACUUUCUGCGAGACUCAAUGGCUUCUACAUGCUGAGCAUCCAUUUCUUAAAAUGUAACAAGGGGAAGAAACUGAGGGGUAGAUCCUCAAAAACAUAAUUUGUCCUUCCCACUGGAUCUAAUGAAACUCAGACAUAUAGUCAAUUUGACAUUUCAACCCAACUACCUGAGAGAGAUCACUGAACGGUCCCAGGUUUACUCAUGAAAGAUUAGCAAACAGCAUUAUGGGAUAGGGAAUAAUAGUGCUGGCAAUAGUUAUAAUGACCAUCAACAUCCUGGCUGCCACUUCCACCCUCACACUAUCCCAACUGCUACAGCUACAUCUGAUUUAAAAUGCAGGCAUAGGACAAGAACUUGUUUCUCUAGGUGAGGUAUGGUUGGAGGACUAGAAUUCCAGGCCUUCCUGUGGAGCAGUAGGAAUGGAGAAUGGUGCAGCAUUUGGAGGGGUUGAUACAGCAAUCACACUGUAGGCAGGUACUCAGAGGAACAGGAAGUGAGGACAUGGCAAGCACUGCAGCCUGAGUCCACCAUACUUCUCCUAGUUGGUAAAGGGCUUGUGACUCAAGUCCCAACAGAUGCAUGGAGAAGCAGAGCUUGCUCAGGCCACACACUAUUACUGCAUUAGACAAAUGAGAGAGGUGCCAUUUCUUGCUGCCCUGUGUGUGAGCCUACCAAUAUGCUCCCAGGGAAAGAAUCCACAGUAGGGCCUGUGUCCUGUGAGCUACAAACAUAUGAUAUUCAGAACAGGGGAAUUCAUUAACAUAAAGGUUGUUCUAAUGGUUGUGUGGAGCUAUGGGGAGCUAAAGGGGUGACUCAUCAAUGGGUAUGAAAUCUGUACAGCAGUGACUAACAUGGCUUGAAAUGAGAUACUGGAAAUUCUGCCCAAGCAGGAAUGAAAUGUGAGUCUUCAGGGGAGGUUCUCUGAGCUUUAAGGAUGUGAACUGGUUGGGCAGCAGAUGGAAGACCUAGCUGCUGGAUGUGAAGUUUGUACGGUGUUGCAGCAUGAGGACAAUAAUACAACAUGCUAUGGGG
This 1535-nucleotide long non-coding RNA is filed under the name Mus musculus (house mouse). RNAcentral describes it as "long non-coding RNA chr12:104270364-104271899". The record is from RNAcentral. Lineage: Eukaryota; Metazoa; Chordata; Mammalia; Rodentia; Muridae.